Mus musculus (house mouse) is the source of this 3859-nucleotide long non-coding RNA. RefSeq annotates it as predicted gene, 40632. The transcript has 3 exons. Lineage: Eukaryota; Metazoa; Chordata; Mammalia; Rodentia; Muridae. The record is from RefSeq and is a predicted model, not a curated record.
CAUAUGAAUUAGGUAGGUGAUGUAUAAUCUCAGCUAAUUAGGAAGCUGAGACAGGAGGAUUAUAUGUAUUCAAGCCAGUUUGGGCAACAUAAUCAGAUCCUGUCUCAAUAUAAAAAUUAUAGAUACAUUGUAACUAUUCCUACACGUAAACAUAUACACAACUACAUAAAAAAACAUGCUGGCUAGAAAUGCAUGUAGCAGUACAAAUGAGAGCAUUCAUUAUUUCUAGAUUCCUGGGUUGUAAUUGUUUUCUUCAUCUUUCAAGAUGUAAACUGAAGCAGUUUCUGACUCAUUUUUCUAUUAAAUAAAGUCCUAGGUUUGCCUUUAAGGUUUUAUUCCUAGAACUAGUUCUGAAUACAAAUGUUAACAUGAGCUUCUGGACAAUUGACUAGGUGCUUCCUCCAGGCUUAUGCUGGAUUUACGGAAGCCGUGUUUGUUAUUUAUUUUUUUCUCUUCUCUUCUCUUUUCUUUUCUGCCUUUUGGCUGGGUCUCUUGUCAAGGCUGUCCUCAAAUGUAUUGUGUAGUCGAGGCUAGCCACGAACUCCUGACCUCCCUGCCUCUGCUUCCUGAGGGCUGCAACUAUUGCCAUGGCUGCCUCUUCUCUUUUCACCAGACACACAGACACCAGACACACAGACACUAGGCUGUCACAGCAAAGAAGAGUAACAGGGACACUAUUGUCUUCUGAGAAUUUUAGGGAUCUCCCUCAGCCUGCCUUCAUCUUGGCCAUCCAGCUGCUUCCUCUGAUAAGGACAUUCUUGUGGGGGACUAAUGAAGAUUCAGUGUAAAACAUCGAUCCCAUCACACUUUCUAAAUGUCCACUUAAAACACAGAACAUCCAAUAAUUCCCAAGGAAAACCAGUUCUGUCAAAUCGCAUUGCUAAUUCACGAAGGGCAUCAACUGUUCAAAAUGGGCAAGUGUAGGCAUCCAGUGGCUGUUUUCAAAAGCUGGCUCUCAGGGGAGUUUGAAUCCGUAUCUUACUCAGCUGUGUGAACUUGAAUCAUUUAAAUGUAGAUAAAUGUGCAGAUAAGUUUGGUUUUGCAUAAAUUUAGAGCAUUUGCAAAAAAAAGAAAAAGAAAGAAAAAGAAAACUCUAACAGCAUGUUCCACUCUAAUUCCUUAUUCAGUACUCACAUAUUUCCCUUUGAAGUUAGAAAAGAAGGGAUUUUAGCCACACACUGUAGCCAAAUGUGUUGCAUGUUUCCGUGUAGAGGGCACACACUUCUUGUUGUGAUGAUAUUAAUGAUUCUUCUCAUGUACUACAUUUUAUAACUUUUAGUCCUAAUUGAGAGAGAGAGAGAGAGAGAGAGAACCCUAAAAUUAAUCUUUCAAAGUCACAGAACCGGAGUGGCUAAUCAGACUUGGAAGUGGGGCUAAUGGCACUGUAGUCAGAUUGAUUGGCUGUUAAACAUGUGGAGUGAAAGCCACAUCACGAAGUACUCAGGGAGAACCUGUGCAGAAUUCCUCUUGAAUCUGUCCCUGGCCUCUGAUUUCAAUACGUGGCUCAAGGCCUGUUACCUUAGCUUCAAAGCACAGCUCCAAGAUAUCUACCAGCUGACAACUUUUAGUUCAUUUUAGUUUUUAGCUUUUUCAAGUAAGACACAAAAGGAACGGGGUGCUGACCAUUCUUUACUGGGAAGAUAAAGCUUGCUAUUUCUUUUGUUUGUUUGUGUGAAUGGGUGACCCACAAGACUGAUAGUUUGUUUAUGUUUCAGGCUGUUUAUGGCUAAAAUGUUCCAUGCACAGGCUGUGACAGGGGACAGAAAAAGUUUGGGCACCAGCUUUUCACAAAGGGUCAAUUCCUCGAACAUCCUUGCACUGAGAAAGGCUGAGCGCAAGUCGGUUGUUGAAGUAGCAGGUGGUAACCUCAGGUUCAAGUUUUAAAAGGACAUCAAGGAGGAAGAACGAGAAGCUGGACUUUAUAAAAGUAAAAUAUUUCUGCUCUGAAAAGAGACCCUGUCAAAUGAAUAAGAAGACAAGAGAAAACACCCUGCGAGUUUCUGAUGGAGGGCCUAUUGAACACUCAAGGGUCUCAUGAUCCAUGUCUGAAGUACAUCUUCGUCCAUUCGGAGAUGUCAACAUCGGUGUAAGAACACACACUCUUGAAUACAGGACCUCAGCAUCAAACAGUCCACACAGCAUGGUUUGUGGCUUGCAGAGAAUGGAGAGAUGACCCAGGUGUUCUUCAGUGGGGGAAGUAAUUAAGUGUGCUGUCCUAUGGAUUAGAAAUGUUUUAGAACCUUACUCAGAUGUAAUAAAAAUGGAUGACAGCCGGCAUUGCUCCCAGAAGGCCUUGUGGGGACACUGCUGUCUUGGGAAGAAAUCCCAGGAAGACAGAAAGUCUGCUUCUGGGGUAGCAAGGACAGAUCUUUUCACCUUGUGCUCAGAAUCCCUGUGCUGAUGAUUUCCACUGUGGUGGUAUAAAGAGCUGGGGUCUUGGGGAACUCGAUUCCUAAUCAUGACCUCAUGAGGACUUUCAACUCAACUUACUGUACUCUCUCAACGCACCCCCAGGUCAUUAGUCUUUAUUCAUUUUCUUCAAAGUGUUCAUAACUUUGAAGUUCCGAACAUUUGUUCUCUGGUUUGGUUUAUUUUAUUGCUUUAGUUGAGUGUGGGUCUCACAGAACAAAAUCUUAUUAGUCUGUUUACCCCUCCUGGCAUUAUCCGAUGCAUGUGUGUUUAACUGAAACAAAGACUAAAAAGAAUCGUCGCAUUUUAUAAAAAUUAAAAUUAAUAACAGAGAAUGUAAGGAUAUAAUAGGGAAAAGAAGUGUGGAAAAUCUGGACCAAGCUGUCGACAGCAGUUGCCUGUAAGGAGGGAGCGUGUGACAUCUUGUGUUCUGUUGUUUACAUUUCUCUAGUAUUUGAAUUUCAAAUAAUGAAAGUUUGAUGUUUUCUUUUUAUAUUUAUUUUAAUAAGGAAAACAGCUAGUGGUGGGGAGAAGGGUGUGACACUGUGACAGAGCUUUCGCCUAGUUUGGGCCCCAGGUUUGCUCUCUAGCACCACAAACCACUACAGCAAACAGCACUGACGUUAACUCUAAGUGGUGGGUGGAGCUUGAGGACCCAGUUAAGUACAAGACGUGGGCUUGCACCACCUGCCCACCCAUUGUCCAGGCUGUCAGCUACUGGCCACAUGUGACUGCUCAGCCAGGGAACUGUGACCACUGCAGCCAAGAGAUCAACUCUUAAGUUAUACUUAAAUAAUUUUAUAAUUAAAAAUGAAUAUUUAAAUGUUUGAUUCAGUUACUGGAACAGUUUGGAGCAUGGUUUGAACCUAGGAAUGAGAAUCUACUUUUUCCAGUAUAAGACUCACAACAUCUGUGUUUAGACCAAGUUUUUAGCAAAAAAUAUCACAUCCAAACUUGAUAUUCUAGAAAAACAAAAUUAAAUAUUUGUUAAGAAAAAAUCAUUAUUGAUGUUUUUAUUAACUAUAUAUUUUGUAGUAUUUUGGAUGUAUAAUACUAAGUUAAUUUAUGAAAUGAUUAACUUUGUCUAUUUGUGAAAAUGUAGCUAGCUACUAGAAAAACUUUAAAUUGAACAAAUGAUUCAAAUUUCAUUCCUGUUGGAUCAUUAAUUUGAGGAGACUGGAGGAGGCGAAAGGCUUGAGAAGUGGGAGCAGCAGGGGGUCGGGGAAGGGUUUGACUGACUCAUAGAAUCUGCUCUAACCUGGGGUUGAUGCACUAGAAAGAAGAACUGUAUGUGUGAAUGGCAAGGGUCAGUUUUCCUGAGCUAUGGCCUCCCCAGCCAGCCUCUGUUUCUGCAUGUCUCUGGCUGCAUGUCCAGCAAGUCUCUGUUUCAUAUACACAAACCAUACACAAAGACAUCAUACACACAAACUAUAUACACAUAGACAUCAUC